RNAcentral lists this ribosomal RNA (253 nucleotides) under uncultured bacterium. RNAcentral describes it as "partial 16S ribosomal RNA". It matches the Rfam family "Bacterial small subunit ribosomal RNA", at positions 524 to 776 of the family's 1533-position model. The record is from RNAcentral.
UACGUAGGUGGCGAGCGUUGUCCGGAAUCAUUGGGCGUAAAGCGCGCGUAGGCGGCUUGUCAGGUCUGAUGUGAAAUCUUGGGGCUCAACUCCAAGCGUGCAUCGGAAACCGGCUAGCUAGAGUCUGGGAGAGGAGAGUGGAAUUCCUGGUGUAGCGGUGAAAUGCGUAGAUAUCAGGAGGAACACCGGUAGCGAAGGCGGCUCUCUGGAACAGUACUGACGCUGAGGCGCGAAAGCUAGGGGAGCAAACAGG